UUUAAUUUAGCUAUGGCCAGAGUGACUUUACCAUUAGGACCUGUGUUUUCUGGAAUGUAAGUGCAACAAGUCAUAGUGUCGGGAAGUAUUUUACAGACUCCCCUUUUUCGGCUAAGAUCAUGUCUAAGGCCAGUCUGUUCUGGAAGGUCAUUUGGGAUGUGGCCUGUAAUUGCUCGGCCAAGCCCUGGAGGGCAUCCCUGGUGUAGUUCACGAAGCGCUGUUGGUUGUAAUAGAUAGAAUUAAUCCAAUUAAGGUUUUUGUUGGCAGUGACUAUGGUAAAAAGUGAUUCAAAACCUGCAGCUACUUCAUCUCUAGCUUUAAAUUCAUUAGGUACCCCCCUAGGCACCCCAAUGGCAUCUAUGUAAAUGUGUGGGUCAAAACUGCCUUUUAC
Molecule: non-coding RNA, 391 nt
Organism: Pelobates cultripes (western spadefoot toad)
Lineage: Eukaryota; Metazoa; Chordata; Amphibia; Anura; Pelobatidae
Source: the annotation of a GenBank genome assembly